Molecule: transfer RNA, 71 nt
Filed under: Gossypium arboreum
Lineage: Eukaryota; Viridiplantae; Streptophyta; Magnoliopsida; Malvales; Malvaceae
Rfam family: tRNA
About the family: Transfer RNA (tRNA) molecules are approximately 80 nucleotides in length. Their secondary structure includes four short double-helical elements and three loops (D, anti-codon, and T loops).
Source: Rfam by way of RNAcentral
ACGGAUAUAGUCGAAUGGUAAAAUUUCUCUUUGCCAAGGAGAAGAUGCGGGUUCAAUUCUUGCUAUUUGCC